Molecule: ribosomal RNA, 439 nt
Filed under: uncultured bacterium
Lineage: Bacteria
Description: partial 16S ribosomal RNA
Rfam family: Bacterial small subunit ribosomal RNA
Source: RNAcentral
CCACGGGUCGCUCCAGUGGGGAAUAUUGCACAAUGGACGAAAGUCUGAUGCAGCAACGCCGCGUGGAGGAUGACACAUUUCGGUGCGUAAACUCCUUUUAUAUAGGAAGAUAAUGACGGUACUAUAUGAAUAAGCGCCGGCUAACUCCGUGCCAGCAGCCGCGGUAAUACGGAGGGCGCAAGCGUUACUCGGAAUCACUGGGCGUAAAGAGCGUGUAGGCGGAUAGAUAAGUCAGGAGUGAAAUCCUAUGGCUCAACCAUAGAACUGCUCUUGAAACUGUCUAUCUAGAAUAUGGGAGAGGUAGAUGGAAUUUCUGGGGUAGGGGUAAAAUCCGUAGAGAUCAGAAGGAAUACCGAUUGCGAAGGCGAUCUACUGGAACAUUAUUGACGCUGAGACGCGAAAGCGUGGGGAGCAAACAGGAUUAGAUACCCUUGUAGUC